GUUUUAAUGUAGCCACGCAAAAAGUUUUUGCGUGUCCGUUUCAAGCCGGUUAAAUACAGAGUGAACG
This 67-nucleotide non-coding RNA is filed under the name unclassified sequences. The record is from RNAcentral.